CUACGUGCCAGCAGCCGCGGUAAUACGUAGGUCCCGAGCGUUGUCCGGAUUUAUUGGGCGUAAAGUGAGCGCAGGCGGUUAGAUAAGUCUGAAGUUAAAGGCUGUGGCUUAACCAUAGUACGCUUUGGAAACUGUUUAACUUGAGUGCAAGAGGGGAGAGUGGAAUUCCAUGUGUAGCGGUGAAAUGCGUAGAUAUAUGGAGGAACACCGGUGGCGAAAGCGGCUCUCUGGCUUGUAACUGACGCUGAGGCUCGAAAGCGUGGGGAGCAAACAGGAUUAGAUACCCUGGUAGUCCACGCCGUAAACGAUGAGUGCUAGGUGUUAGACCCUUUCCGGGGUUUAGUGCCGUAGCUAACGCAUUAAGCACUCCGCCUGGGGAGUACGACCGCAAGGUUGAAACUCAAAGGAAUUGACGGGGGCCCGCACAAGCGGUGGAGCAUGCGGAUUAAUUCGAUGCAACGCGAA
RNAcentral lists this ribosomal RNA (465 nucleotides) under uncultured bacterium. RNAcentral's name for it is "bacterial SSU rRNA". It matches the Rfam family "Bacterial small subunit ribosomal RNA", at positions 501 to 965 of the family's 1533-position model. The record is from RNAcentral.